AACGCUGGCGGCAGGCCUAACACAUGCAAGUCGAGCGGUCGUAGCAAUACGGCAGCGGCAGACGGGAGAGUAACACGUGGGAACGUACCCUUCGGUUCGGAACAACCCAGGGAAACUUGGGCUAAUACCGGAUACGUCCGCAAGGAGAAAGAUUUAUCGCCGGAGGAUCGGCCCGCGUCUGAUUAGCUAGUUGGUGGGGUAAUGGCUCACCAAGGCGACGAUCAGUAGCUGGUCUGAGAGGAUGAUCAGCCUCACUGGGACUGAGACACGGCCCAGACUCCUACGGGAGGCAGCAGUGGGGAAUAUUGGACAAUGGGCGCAAGCCUGAUCCAGCCAUGCCGCGUGGGUGAUGAAGGCCCUAGGGUUGUAAAGCCCUUUCGGCGGGGAAGAUAAUGACGGUACCCGCAGAAGAAGCCCCGGCUAACUUCGUGCCAGCAGCCGCGGUAAUACGAAGGGGGCUAGCGUUGCUCGGAAUCACUGGGCGUAAAGCGCACGUAGGCGGCUUCCUAAGUCAGGGGUGAAAUCCUG
This 528-nucleotide ribosomal RNA is filed under the name uncultured bacterium. RNAcentral's name for it is "bacterial SSU rRNA". It matches the Rfam family "Bacterial small subunit ribosomal RNA", at positions 32 to 604 of the family's 1533-position model. The record is from RNAcentral.